CCUACGGGUGGCAGCAGUGAGGAAUAUUGGUCAAUGGGCGUAAGCCUGAACCAGCCAAGUCGCGUGAGGGAUGAAGGCUCUCUGGAUCGUAACCCUCUUUUAUAAGGGAAUAAAGUGCGCGACGUGUCCCGUUUUGUAUGUACCUUAUGACUAAGGAUCGGCUAACUCCGUGCCAGCAGCAGCGGUAAUACGGAGGUUCCGAGCGUUAUCCGGAUUUAUUGGGUUUAAAGGGUGCGUAGGCGGCCUUUUAAGUCAGCGGUGAAAGUCCGGGGCUCAACCGUAGAAGUGCCGUUGAAACUGGUAGGCUGGAGUAUGGUUGAGGCAGGCGGAAUGCGUGGUGUAGCGGUGAAAUGCUUAGAUAUCACGCAGAACCCCGAUUGCGAAGGCAGCCUGCCAAGCCAUGACUGACGCUGAUGCACGAAAGCGUGGGGAUCAAACAGGAUUAGAUACCCGAGUAGUC
This 460-nucleotide ribosomal RNA is filed under the name uncultured bacterium. RNAcentral's name for it is "partial 16S ribosomal RNA". It matches the Rfam family "Bacterial small subunit ribosomal RNA", at positions 338 to 795 of the family's 1533-position model. The record is from RNAcentral.